ACUCCUACGGGAGGCAGCAGUGGGGAAUCUUGGACAAUGGGGGCAACCCUGAUCCAGCCAUGCCGCGUGAGUGAUGAAGGCCUUAGGGUCGUAAAGCUCUUUCGCCUGUGAUGAUAAUGACAGUAGCAGGUAAAGAAACCCCGGCUAACUCCGUGCCAGCAGCCGCGGGUAAUACGGAGGGGUUAGCGUUGUUCGGAAUUACUGGGCGUAAAGCGCGCGUAGGCGGAUUAGUCAGUUAGAGGUGAAAUCCCAGGGCUCAACCCUGGAACUGCCUUUAAUACUGCUAGUCUUGAGUUCGAGAGAGGUGAGUGGAAUUCCGAGUGUAGAGGUGAAAUUCGUAGAUAUUCGGAGGAACACCAGUGGCGAAGGCGGCUCACUGGCUCGAUACUGACGCUGAGGUGCGAAAGUGUGGGGAGCAAACAGGAUUAGAUACCCUGGUAGCGACUGA
RNAcentral lists this ribosomal RNA (448 nucleotides) under uncultured bacterium. RNAcentral's name for it is "bacterial SSU rRNA". It matches the Rfam family "Bacterial small subunit ribosomal RNA", at positions 335 to 799 of the family's 1533-position model. The record is from RNAcentral.